Molecule: transfer RNA, 77 nt
Filed under: Paracoccaceae bacterium
Lineage: Bacteria; Pseudomonadati; Pseudomonadota; Alphaproteobacteria; Rhodobacterales; Paracoccaceae
Description: Rhodobacteraceae bacterium (marine sediment metagenome) tRNA-Arg
Rfam family: tRNA
About the family: Transfer RNA (tRNA) molecules are approximately 80 nucleotides in length.
Source: RNAcentral
GCACCCGUAGCUCAGCUGGAUAGAGAGAUGCCCUCCGAAGGCAGAGGCCACAGGUUCGAAUCCUGUCGGGUGCGCCA